AAGAUUUUAAGUUAAUAAAACUUUUAAUUUUCAAAAUUAAAUAUAUAAUUUAUUUUUAAUUUAUAAAUCUUA
Molecule: transfer RNA, 72 nt
Filed under: Bombus kashmirensis
Lineage: Eukaryota; Metazoa; Arthropoda; Insecta; Hymenoptera; Apidae
Description: tRNA-Trp
Source: RNAcentral